UUUCUAUCUAUACUAGUCUGAGUUUACACUUGAAAUAAUUAGCGACGAAAUUAAUUUGUAGCCAAAACCCUUUUAAUUGGCUGCCUAACUUUAAUUAACCGUGCUUGUCCCUUUUAAGUCAGACAUCUCGAGGCCAGCGCCAACGCGUCCAACUACAAUCCACGAUUUACUUCCGAGAGGAAAAAAAUGCAUUCACUAAAUCUACUACCUUCAGAUACUAGAGAUAAAUCAAAUAAGGAGAAACAAAUCACCGAUUGUUGACUUGAAUUUUAUAACCUAUAGAAAGGAGAUAAAAGAUAUGCUGUACAACAAGAGUUUCCUAAGCGAAUACUUUUGUACUUUGACCUAAAGAAAAACAGUUUUGAAAAAAAUACUCGAGCUUAAUGUCGCGGAAUCGAUGUUAUCUGGUCUAGCUGAUAAAAAUUAAGAAGUUUCCAUACUCAUUAUUACUUCUAUGAAAAAAAGAUUCGAAAAUCGAGACAAUUAAAAGAAAAAAUAUAAAAAGUUAAAAUACAACAUUACAGGACUAAAAAGUUGAAUACCAUUCUGCAAACUAAGGUGCGAUAGAUCAUACAGAAGCUUUAUAUUUAAACUAACGUCAGAUCGACAGUAAACAACUAAUAAAAAGAAUUAAUAACAGCAAAAUUGAUCAAUAAUUUAGUUUUGACAGAAGACUUUGUUACGAGCAACGAUACAAAUACUUGACGGUCAUAUUUUUGAUUGCCGUCGUACGAACCGGAGAUAACACCAGUAACAAUAAAAACGAUGAAACUUUAAAAUGACGUCGAGGCUGUUGGCUAAUAUCCAACGUUACAGAUGAACUCUUCCAGUAAAUAAAUGUAUUGACUUUUAUGAAAAGAAAGUGUUAAAAUAUACAAAGAUUUUUCAAUGCAUAACUUAGAAGGAAAUUGGUUCAUUCAGUGCCGGAAAAAACGUUUAAGUUAUUCUAUUAAAAUAAACACGAUUAAUCAAUAAGGAAGUGUUUAUUAUUUUUCAGUGAAAUAUAUUUUACAAUGUCUCGUAACCGAAACAUAUAGAAUCAAUGAACUCGAUUUAACUAUACUUCUUAUUCGUAAAACCAUUUUAACCGAAAUAACAGUUACCGUAUAGAUAUGCAUAGCUUAUAAGCUACGCACAAUAAUAUCUAUUAAUUUUUACUUUAUAAAGUAUAAAUCAACAGAUAUCAUAUCGUCACCUCAAACUAACUUAUAAUUAACUUAUUUAUUGAGCUUAUCAGAACAUAAUAAUUAAGAAAAUUUGUAUUUCCUUCCCCGAAUUUUAUCUAAAUUACUUUAUUCUUUUCAACAUCUUUCUUCCGAAGAUGCCUUUCAUUUUACGAUUAGACUCAUAUAAACAGUUUGCUUAUGGGGCUCUCAAAGUACUAAACCGACUCUGCUGAUAAAAGUAUAAAAGUUGUUAUUUAAAAAUUAAUUUGCCAUUUUUA
Molecule: long non-coding RNA, 1444 nt
Organism: Daktulosphaira vitifoliae (grape phylloxera)
Lineage: Eukaryota; Metazoa; Arthropoda; Insecta; Hemiptera; Phylloxeridae
Exons: 6
Source: RefSeq, a predicted model, not a curated record